ACCGGGGCCGCGGCGCACACCCUCUGACGGGUCUUCCACGCGCCGGUUCCAAGGCCGCCCUCCAGGUUGUUGUGAUCUCAAUUCAAGAGGAAGGUGUGAUAUGGCGUCUGUCUGGGUUGGACACCGAGGGACAAUGAGAGAUCAUCCAGGCUUUAACCCAUCUGUGGAUGCUGAGGCGAUUCAUAAGGCAGUCAGAGAAAUCGGAACUGAUGAGAAGACGCACAUCAGCAUUCUGACUGAGAGGUCGAAUGCACAGCGGCAGCUGACUGUUAAGGAAUAUCAAGUAGCAUAUGGAAAGGUACGAGUCCAUUAACAUGACAGGCAGUAAAGAGCUAAUCCCUCGUGGAUCAAGGCUGCUCCCACGUGAUUAUGCCCAUGGAUCUUUUAUUUUAGGCCAAGUGUAACAGAAACUUCCCUGUGUAUCCAGUCAGUAGCCUAGAGUAAGAGUCUUGGUUUUGCCCUUCAUCAGCCGAAUGGCCUUAGGCAUGUCAGUUGAUUUUUCUAGGACUCAGUAUCUUCACCUGUUGAAGAGGAGGCGUUGCCUUGGGUCAGUAGCUCUGAACUGGGAAUGAUUUGGUUUCCCAGGGAAUAUGUGGCAAUAUCCCCAGACAUUUUGAUGAUCACAGCUGGUGGGAGAGAGAAGGAUGUUCUGGCAUCUGGUGGGCAGAGGUCAGGGAUACUGCUGAACAUCAUACCGUACACAUGCCAAUCCCCCAUACCAAAGAACUCUCUGAUCAGUUAUUUGAUAAAUCCUGUCUUACAUGAUCUUUAAUUUCUCUUCCAACUUUAAUAAGUUUAUGGAACUACAGAUUUAUUGCUUAAUUCAUUCAGCAAAUGAAAACUUAACUGUGUACCAGAAAGUAUACAAGAACUAUUCAAGAACUUUUUGUAUGUCUUUCCCACACAGUUUAUUUGUUCAGUAAUAAGCUCCUGUGUGUCAGGAGUUGGGUACUAGUCUAUGUUAGGAAAUAUCCCAGAUAUUGGAGAGUCACUGGAAUAAAAAGCAGAUCCUCUUUUCUUCCAUAAGCCAAACAUUCUAUUAGAAAAAUAAUAAAUAGGCAAAUAAAAUAAAUUCAGAUAUUGGUAGGUGCUAUGGAAGAAUUAAAAUAGAUGAUAUUAGAGAGAAUGACUAGUGAAUGGCUCCUUUGGAUACAUGGUGAGGGAAUGUCAGUGAGAGCUUGUUACUUUACUCUCAGCAAAGACUAAACCAUACUGAGGAUUCGGCUCUGCUUCAUCUGGGGUAGGGCAUUUCAGACAGAAGGUCUGGCAAAGGCAAAAGCCCUAAGGCCAAACCAAGCUGGAAAUACUGAAGAAACAGAAGGUACAAUAUGGCAGCUGUGUAGACAGUAAAGGGAGGCAGAGGAAACUGAUGAGGUUUGAAGAGAGGCUUAGAAUAUUCUGGGCCUUGGGGGUCUUGGUACAGAGGUUAGAUUUUUAUUCUAAGAACAAUAGGGACCCAUCAGAGGUUUAUAAGAAGGGGAAUCCUAUAAUCUAUAUUUUUAAAUGAUUAUUUUAGCUGCUGUGGCUAAUGAGCUAUGUAGGGAAGGGAAAGAGUAGAAACACAAACCAGUCAGGCUAUUGGGUAAAACUGAGGGUGCGUAGUAACCAUGCAAAGGCGGCUGAGGCAUCACCUGCGGGUAUUCUCCAAGUCCUCAGGCUCCAUGAAGACACCCUUGUCUGUGUUCUUUUUACCAGAUACUUCACAUGGCAUCACUCUGCAGUUUUAUCUCUAUUUCUGUUUUUCCCUAGGGUGUAAUUUCCUAGGGAUAAGAAUUGGGUCUAACUCACCAUUAAGCGCUCAGCACAGAGCAGGCACGCAGUAAACAUUUGUCGAAACAAAGCCAAGCUUCCGGGCAAGGCAACACACUCAUGCACAGGGAAGGUACAAGAUCUACGGGGCUUUCAGGAUUUCCAAAAUAGGGAGGAAGGAUGCAGGCGAAGGGUGCCAGUCCUGUCUCACAGCGGGAUAGAAAGAGAGCACCUGAAGGAAGAGUCGGGUGGGUGGAAUUUAGUAUUUGAACAGGAAACACCCCAUGACAACUACCACAGGGCUAGUCCCGCUUGGCUCCACCCCAUUUGUUUUGGUGGGAGCUCACCCCCAGUGCUGUGGUAGAUGUUGGUCUGUACCCACAUUGUUCUAGCAGUGAGGCUUCCAGCCUCCAUUGCAGAAUCAUCAAGAGCGGGAAAAAUCAUUGUUCAAUAACACUCCUUUGGAUAUUAAAAUGGAGACCAUGUUACUUGCUUUCAAUGGCGGGGGGGGGGCUGGGCUGUACUUACAAAAUGUGUGAGAACACUGCUCAAGGGGAACAUCAAUAAGUAUGUCCCCCUAUUGCCAUAUUUUGGAUUUCCUCUGCUGUUGCUGCCAGAGAACUGCUUUUGACAACUGCUAGUGUCGCACACUCUUACCAGAGGCAAAUGCUCCAGCCCUGCCUUCCCUCCACUUUUGCCCCCUGAAGCUCCUGGGCCAUCACUAGGAAGCCAGGCAGGAAGAAAGCACCUGCCAGGGAGGCUGGGUGUGGUUUCGGGGCUCCUCCUCCUCUUCCCUCACCCCAACCCAGGUGCGCUCAGAGCAUCGAGGCCCUGGGAAGUGCAUUGUAACACGCAGUUCCUGUCUGUGGCACUUAUAGAACCCCUUCCAUUGGCUUUCCUUCAGAAAACCUUCUAUGAAACAACAUUUUGGAAAUAAUCAUAAAAAGCAGAUCCACAGCCAAGGGCACUUUUACAAUUUAUUUUCCAUCUUUCAAUUCUGUUCCUCUCCCUUUGCUUUAUGUUUCACAAUCCCUUUUCUCUCUCUCUCUCUCUCUCUCUCCCUUUCACUCGCCCCCUCCCCGCCCUCUCUCUCUCCCCUUCUCUCUCCAAUAUCCCUAUUUUUCUGUCUCUUGUUUUUCCUCUCAGUGGCAGACACAAUAGGGACUCAUACUACCAAUUACCUAACAUAUUUUAGCGAGUUAAAUCUACACGUUUAUCACCCUUGGCCAGUUUGCAUUAUUUAAUAGAAUAUGUAUUUCCACGAUUUUGUUUUUGGGUUAAUGUUGUCUCUGCUGUAUUUGCUGUGUGGUUUCCAUUGUUCACUUGCUCUCUUUCCUUUUUGGCAGCAUUUUGGCUCCUUUGCCCUAGGAAUAGGAGAGGUCUAGGUGGGAAAAAGACAAGGGUUGCUUUCCUGAGCAAACCCUCCUUGCGGCUGGUGUUCAUUCACUGAGUAGAAUAUACUUUGCAGCGAGGAAGCUUCCAUCCUCUUGUUUUGUGGAGUUUGUGAGAUUGCCAUUCUGCCCUGAUUGCUCUAGCUCACUAGGUGCUGCUUUUCCCCGCUUGUGAAAAGAAGGCGUUUUCAUGCCACAUCAGGCUUCUCCUCAAAGGAGAACACGUUUGGAGUGCCUUUCAAGCGAUGCAAACUCCCUGCACCAAACCAGUGCACAGAGAGCACUGGGUGGCACCUUGGCUCAUUUGCCCUAUGUAUAGGAGUGGCCUAGGUGGGAAAGAGGCAAGGGUUGCUUUCCCGAGCAAACCCGCACUGGGUUCGUUCACUGAGACAGGAACUCCUGAGUGUUACAGCUCUUAAAGUUACCUCUUGACCAGGUCAAAAUGACAACGGUCUUCUACCACCUGGCUUUCUUCAGGAAGUGAUAAAAUAUCCCAACCCAACCAGCUCCUGCCCCAGGCAUCCUGUCAGGCCCUAUUGGCCAGAAUAGGGUAAGAUGCUCUCCACACCCCCAGCCACUCCUAACAAAGAGGAAGGGGAGGACCGGGAUGGAUUUCCUGCAGUCACGAUGCAUUCCCAGGUAGCCCAUUGAUUGCAUCAGGAGACCCGAACAGUUCACAUUUUAUUCAUGAGUAUUACUGUGGUUCCGGGUAGAAGAAAUGGCUGCUGGGAAAAUACCAACAAUGUUUGUAAGGACAGUCACGGACCAAAAGUCCGCAGAGGGUAUGGAUUGUCCUUGGAGCUGAAGAAGUCACGGAAGAUAGGGAGUUCCCAUUGUGGGACAGCAGAAGUGAAUCCGAGCAUCAUCCGUGAGAAUUUGGGUUCGAUCCCUGGCCUCACCAGUGGGUCAGGGAUCCAGUGUUGCUGUGAGCUGUGGAGUAGGUUGCAGAUGCAGCUUGGAUCCUGCAUUGCUGGCCCUGUGGUGUAGGCUGGCUGCUGCAGCUCCUAUUAGAGCUCUGGUCUGGGAAGGUCCAUGUACCACGGCUGUGGCCUAAAAAAACAGUUACAGAAAAUAAAGACAGGGGUGCAGUGGUGCCGGCAGCACAUGGGACUAAGGUCUUCAGUGAUGAGCACAACGACAGAGAAGGGACAAAUGACUGCCCAGGAGGAGUGAUGAGGCUGUGUCUAGGAAGGCCACAACCACCUUACCAGACGGGCGGCCUGCUCCCUCUGUUGCCCUGGACCCUCGGGUGUGAGGACCGAUCCUCUGCUCAGAGUCCAGCCUCCUCUGUCCUCCUUGCUUCAUUCUACCUGCAGCCCACCCAUCUUUCUUUGGAUCUGCCUUUCUUUGAGAAGUUAUCCUCUGUAUUGGCUAUCAGGUGGCAGAACCUGUGGACCCAAAAGGAGCAGUUGCACUGGCAGGGACUAGGUGGACCUCGGGUCGCCAUGGAAAACUCUUGGUGGAGCACAGGCAAGAGUUGGGGCGGGAGGACCUGCACCCCAUAAGAAAUACCCACCAGCUCUCAGAUCCUCGAGGGUUGUAGGAGCACCGAGACAUUCAAGCUGGGAAAUGAAGACUGUGAUAGGGCAGAGCGAGACCCAAGCUUCCCCGGGCAAUGGCAGCGUGAGCUCCUGUCCAACUGCCAAAAGAUGAGAGUUGGCAUCUUACCAGAAGGUUUGGAGGGAUAGGAUGAGAGACGCCUGGCCAUUGGCCGGAAGCGCAUGGCGGGGGAGGGGGUUGCGGAAGCUGCCUCGUGAUUGGCCCGGGCCACGGGGAUGUCACAGGGAGGCAUUGUGACUUGAGGGCAAGGCAGUUAUAAAAGCCCAGUGCUUCCACCGUCUCCCAGACGGAGGAUAUGGCUUUUCAGCUGUUCCUGCUCUUGCUCUUCAAGGCGGUGUCCUCUGCCGCCUUCUCUGCACCUGCACAUGGCAUGCCCCAGGCCCACCUGUCCUGCCCCGGGCCUCUCACCCACACUUGGUGUACCACAUUCCUGUUCGCAUCCAGCUUUGAGCCCCUUUGCGGGCGGAUGAGCCUACGCACCCGCACCCGGCGCCUCCUCCACCCGCAGCCCUCCUCGGGCCUGGCCCAGCUCCUCAACACUGUGCUCAGGUUCUACAACAGGGGCUUGGACGUCUGGAACCAGAACCAAGCAGACCCCCACGCGGAGGGGAAGCAGCCCUCCCAGCCCUGUUGGCCAAGAGACCUGGACACGUGCCACGCCUCCAACUCCACACUGCACAGAAGGCAGCUGGCCACCCCUCCUCAGACAUCCAUGGACCCCAGAUCCAAGAUCUCCACCUUGGCCCUCCUGCUCCACAAAGGAGAGUCACAGACUCACAGGGCGAGUUCCUGUACCUCCUGCCCACCUCCAUGCAACCUCUCAAAGGGCUCUCCAGCCCAUGUGGGACCACCAGCCUGGGUGAGGCGACUGGUCCAGUUAGGGCCACCAGUCCUGGCAGGGCCAAAAGUCCAGGCAAGGCGACCAGCCCAGGUGGGACCACCAGCCCAGGUGAGGACACCAGCCCAGGAAGGACCAGCAGCCCAGAUGGGACCAGUGGCCCUGGUGAUGCUACCACCACAGGUGGGACCAACAGCCCAUGUGGGGACGUUUCCCCAGGCAGGAGCAACAGCCCAAGUGGGGCCACCAAGCCUUGCGGGACCAAUGGCCCCAAUAGGGACAGCAGCCCAGGUGAUGGGGCCACUAGACCAGGCCACGACUCCAGCUGAUGCCAGGCUACCAGCCCAGGCAGGCCCAGCAUACCAGGUGGGGCCACCACUCCAGGCAAGUCCACCCGCCCAGAUGUGUCCGUCACCCCAGGCGAGGCUACCAACCCAGGUGGGGACACCAGCUCCUCUGGUGCCACCAGCCCAGUCAGGUCCACCAGCCCAGGUGGGGCCAACACCCCAGGCGGGGACACCAGCCCAGGCAGGGACACCAGGAUCGGCGAGGAUACCAGCCCAGGCGGAACCAACAUGCCAGGCCAGGCCAACAGCCCAGACGGGGACACCAGCCAUGACAGAAACCCUGUGGUCACAGCUAGGCUUUGGAAACAUUGAGAGUUUGCUCCUUCUGUUGACUCGCUGUGCUCUGGUGCUGCUCUUUUCCUUCUGGACAUUUAUCUCAUGCAGAGAGAUAAAGGACUACCGUGAGUUCCAACAAGAGCAGCUGGCAGAGCUGGGCAAAGGAUUGAAGAUGAUGGGUAAAGCCCUGGGAGAACUUGAGAAGACACUAAAUGCAGAAAGAGAACAUAAAAAUCAUCUUUCCAAGGAGCUGUCUGAGCUGAAGGCAGAGCUCAGAAUUUCUGAAAAGGAAACAGAGAGAUGGAAAAAGCUGUUUUUUCUAUUGUCCCGGGCACAACACCUUUUGAAGGCCUUCCCGGAAGAUGCAAAGGGGCACUGUGUGCAGGUGGAGCAGGGCCCUUAGAGGCAGGCCCAGGCCUGGGAGCUGGAGAGUUUCUUCCUCCCUGUGCACGCCCCCUAGAGGGGGAGAAGAGGGGUGGGGAGGGAGGGCAAAGCGGAGGCUGGGGUAGGGGUGCUGGGACAGAGACGUGGCCUGAAUUUCAUGAUGUAUGUAUAUUUUGAAUAAAUAAUUGAAUGUUGGAAGG
RNAcentral lists this long non-coding RNA (6745 nucleotides) under Sus scrofa (pig). Its description in RNAcentral is "lncRNA (ENSSSCG00065056551.1)". Lineage: Eukaryota; Metazoa; Chordata; Mammalia; Artiodactyla; Suidae. The record is from RNAcentral.